CCUACGGGUGGCAGCAGUGAGGAAUAUUGGUCAAUGGACGAGAGUCUGAACCAGCCAAGUAGCGUGAAGGAUGACUGCCCUAUGGGUUGUAAACUUCUUUUAUAAAGGAAUAAAACGAGGCACGUGUGCCUUUUUGCAUGUACUUUAUGAAUAAGGAUCGGCUAACUCCGUGCCAGCAGCGGCGGUAAUACGGAGGAUCCGAGCGUUAUCCGGAUUUAUUGGGUUUAAAGGGAGCGUAGAUGGGUUGUUAAGUCAGUUGUGAAAGUCUGCGGCUCAACCGUAAAAUUGCAAUUGAUACUGGCAGUCUUGAGUACAGUUGAGGUAAGCGGAAUUCGUGGUGUAGCGGUGAAAUGCUUAGAUAUCACGAAGAACCCCGAUUGCGAAGGCAGCUUACCAAACUGUGACUGACAUUGAUGCUCGAAAGUGUGGGUAUCAAACAGGAUUAGAUACCCCUGUAGUC
This 460-nucleotide ribosomal RNA is filed under the name uncultured bacterium. RNAcentral's name for it is "partial 16S ribosomal RNA". It matches the Rfam family "Bacterial small subunit ribosomal RNA", at positions 338 to 795 of the family's 1533-position model. The record is from RNAcentral.